Molecule: ribosomal RNA, 433 nt
Filed under: uncultured bacterium
Lineage: Bacteria
Description: partial 16S ribosomal RNA
Rfam family: Bacterial small subunit ribosomal RNA
Source: RNAcentral
AACGAACGCUGGCGGCAUGCCUAACACAUGCAAGUCGAACGAGACCUUCGGGUCUAGUGGCGCACGGGUGCGUCACGCGUGGGAACCUGCCCUUAGGUUCGGAAUAACUCCCCGAAAGGGGUGCUAAUACCGGAUAAUGUCUUCGGACCAAAGAUUUAUCGCCUUUGGAUGGGCCCGCGUUGGAUUAGCUAGUUGGUAGGGUAAAAGCCUACCAAGGCGACGAUCCAUAGCUGGUCUGAGAGGAUGAUCAGCCACACUGGGACUGAGACACGGCCCAGACUCCUACGGGAGGCAGCAGUGGGGAAUAUAGGACAAUGGGCGAAAGCCUGAACCAGCAAUGCCGCGAGAGUGAUGAAGGCCUGAGGGUUGUAAAGCUCUUUUACCCGGGAUGAUAAUGACAGUACCGGGAGAAUAAGCUCCGGCUAGCUCCGUG